Molecule: ribosomal RNA, 497 nt
Filed under: uncultured bacterium
Lineage: Bacteria
Description: partial 16S ribosomal RNA
Rfam family: Bacterial small subunit ribosomal RNA
Source: RNAcentral
GACGAACGCUGGCGGCGUGCCUAAUACAUGCAAGUAGAACGCUGAAGAGAGGAGCUUGCUCUUCUUGGAUGAGUUGCGAACGGGUGAGUAACGCGUAGGUAACCUGCCUUGUAGCGGGGGAUAACUAUUGGAAACGAUAGCUAAUACCGCAUAACAAUGGAUGACACAUGUCAUUUAUUUGAAAGGGGCAAUUGCUCCACUACAAGAUGGACCUGCGUUGUAUUAGCUAGUAGGUGAGGUAAUGGCUCACCUAGGCGACGAUACAUAGCCGACCUGAGAGGGUGAUCGGCCACACUGGGACUGAGACACGGCCCAGACUCCUACGGGAGGCAGCAGUAGGGAAUCUUCGGCAAUGGGGGCAACCCUGACCGAGCAACGCCGCGUGAGUGAAGAAGGUUUUCGGAUCGUAAAGCUCUGUUGUAAGUCAAGAACGGAUGUGAGAGUGGAAAGUUCACACUGUGACGGUAGCUUACCAGAAAGGGACGGCUAACUACGUG